UACGUAGGUGGCAAGCGUUGUCCGGAUUUACUGGGCGUAAAGAGCGCGCAGGCGGUUGAUUAAGUCGAAUGUGAAAGCCCCCGGCUCAACUGGGGAGGGUCAUUCGAUACUGAUCAACUUGAAGGCAGGAGAGGGAAGUGGAAUUCCGGGUGUAGUGGUGAAAUGCGUAGAUAUCCGGAGGAACACCGAUGGCGAAGGCAGCCCCCUGGGCUAAGACUGACGCUGAGGCACGAAAGCGUGGGGAGCAAACAGG
Molecule: ribosomal RNA, 253 nt
Filed under: uncultured bacterium
Lineage: Bacteria
Description: partial 16S ribosomal RNA
Rfam family: Bacterial small subunit ribosomal RNA
Source: RNAcentral